UAAGUAGAUAGUGAAAGCGUGUGGCUUAACCAUAUACACAUUAUCUAAACUGCUAAGCUAGAGGAUGAGAGAGGUUAUUGGAAUUCCCAGUGUAGGAGUGAAAUCCGUAGAUAUUGGGAGGAACACCGAUGGCGUAGGCAGAUAACUGGCUCAUUCCUGACACUAAGGCACGAAAGCGUGGGAGCAAACGGGAUUAGAUACCCCGGUAGUCCACGCCGUAAACGAUGGAUGCUA
This 234-nucleotide ribosomal RNA is filed under the name uncultured Candidatus Saccharibacteria bacterium. RNAcentral's name for it is "partial 16S ribosomal RNA". It matches the Rfam family "Bacterial small subunit ribosomal RNA", at positions 584 to 818 of the family's 1533-position model. Lineage: Bacteria; Candidatus Saccharimonadota. The record is from RNAcentral.